Molecule: ribosomal RNA, 517 nt
Filed under: uncultured Verrucomicrobiota bacterium
Lineage: Bacteria; Pseudomonadati; Verrucomicrobiota
Description: bacterial SSU rRNA
Rfam family: Bacterial small subunit ribosomal RNA
Source: RNAcentral
UGAAGGAGCGACGCCGCGUGGGGAUGAAUGGCUUCGGCCCGUAAACCCUGUCAUUGCGAUCAAACCUUACGACCUAACACGUCGUAAGCUGAUAGUAGCGGAAGAGGAAGGGACGGCUAACUCUGUGCCAGCAGCCGCGGUAAUACAGAGGUCCCAAGCGUUGUUCGGAUUCACUGGGCGUAAAGGGUGCGUAGGCGGUCGGGUAAGUCUAACGUGAAAUCUUCAAGCUCAACUUGGAAACUGCGUCGGAUACUAUUCGGCUAGAGGAAUGGAGGGGAGACUGGAAUACUUGGUGUAGCAGUGAAAUGCGUAGAUAUCAAGUGGAACACCAGUGGCGAAGGCGAGUCUCUGGACAUUUCCUGACGCUGAGGCACGAAAGCCAGGGGAGCAAACGGGAUUAGAUACCCCGGUAGUCCUGGCCCUAAACGGUGCACGUUUGCUGUAAGAGGAAUCGACCCCUUUUGUGGCGAAGCUAACGCGUUAAACGUGCCGCCUGGGAAGUACGGCCGCAAGGUUA